UACAGGGGGGGCAAGCGUUGUUCGGAAUUACUGGGCGUAAAGGGUCUGUAGGUGGCCAACUAAGUCAGACGUGAAAUCCCAAGGCUUAACCUUGGAACUGCGUCGGAUACUGGAUGGCUUGAAUUCGGGAGAGGGAUGCAGAAUUCCAGGUGUAGCGGUGAAAUGCGUAGAUAUCUGGAGGAAUACCGGUGGCGAAGGCGGCAUCCUGGACCGACAUUGACGCUGAAAACCGAAAGCUAGGGGAGCAAACGGG
Molecule: ribosomal RNA, 253 nt
Filed under: uncultured bacterium
Lineage: Bacteria
Description: partial 16S ribosomal RNA
Rfam family: Bacterial small subunit ribosomal RNA
Source: RNAcentral